This 934-nucleotide ribosomal RNA is filed under the name uncultured archaeon. RNAcentral's name for it is "bacterial SSU rRNA". It matches the Rfam family "Archaeal small subunit ribosomal RNA", at positions 1 to 922 of the family's 1478-position model. The record is from RNAcentral.
UCCGGUUGAUCCUGCCGGACCCGACUGCUAUUUGGGUGAGGAUAAGCCAUGCGAGUCGAAUGGGAUACCUAAAUUUCCCAUGGCAAACUGCUCAGUAACACAUGAUCAACUUACCCUACAGUGAAAAAUAACCUCGGGAAACUGAGGAUAAUGUUUCAUAGUUGAAAAGGCUUGGAAAAGUUUUUCAAUGAAAGGAUAAGAAAAAUGGUUUUUUUUCCGCUAUAGGAUAGGAUCGUGCUCGAUUAUGGUUGUUGGUGAGGUAAUGGCUCACCAAGCCGAUAAUCGAUAGGGGCCGUGAGAGCGGGUGCCCCGAGAUGGGUACUGAGACAACGACCCAGGCCUUACGAGGCGCAGCAGGCGCGAAACCUCCGCAAUACACGAAAGUGUGACGGGGUUACCCAAAGUGUUCAAUUUUGAACUGUGGUAGGUGAGUAAUGUCCCCUACUAGAAAGGAGAGGGCAAGGCUGGUGCCAGCCGCCGCGGUAAAACCAGCUCUUCAAGUGGUCGGGAUAAUUAUUGGGCUUAAAGUGUCCGUAGCCGGUUUAGCAAGUUCCUGGUAAAAUCGGGUAGCUUAACUAUCUGUAUGCUAGGAAUACUGUUAUACUAGAGGGCGGGAGAGGUCUGAGGUACUACAGGGGUAGGGGUGAAAUCUUAUAAUCCUUGUAGGACCACCAGUGGCGAAGGCGUCAGACUGGAACGUGCCUGACGGUGAGGGACGAAAGCCAGGGGAGCGAACCGGAUUAGAUACCCGGGUAGUCCUGGCCGUAAACGAUGCAUACUAGGUGAUGGCAUGGCCAUGAGCCGUGUCAGUGCCGUAGGGAAACCGUUAAGUGUGCCGCCUGGGAAGUACGGUCGCAAGGCUAAAACUUAAAGGAAUUGGCGGGGGAGCACCACAAGGGGUGAAGCCUGCGGUUCAAUUGGAUUCAACGCCGGG